CCCUGGCCUCUCUCCCUCCCUCGCCAGAUCCACCUCUCCCACACCUAACCCGACGACCCCGUAGGAGCACGCCACCGUCCACCCGCGCCCGCUCCACUGCCCUGCCUCCUCGGCCCCCCUCCCCACUUGCCCCCUCGCACUUCCCCUCGCCCUCUCCGCCAUCUCCUCUACCUCAGAGCCCAGAAAGCCUCGCGCUUCCCUGCUCUCGCGCGAAGAGGUGGCUCCGAGAAGCCGAGCUCCAUUGCCGCAGAGGGUAGCAGCGCCGCGCAGCCGUGAGUACUAGGGAGGAGCGCCCCGGCGGACUGGAGAUCUGCUGCUGCGAAGUGCCGCAAUGGGCCAGGGAGGAGCGCCACCACAGAUUGAGGAAGGCCGCCUCCCGGACCGAGCUCCUCACACCACCGUAGAUCAAGGAGGACCGCCGCCCCGACCGAGCUCCUUCCUCAUGCCGCCCGCCUCUCCCCGACUUCGGCGCGCUAGCCCCUAGGGAUUUUGAUUUUGAGGUGGUGUGAGUGUUAGGGUUUUCUUUGCUUUCUUGGAGGUGCACUCAGUGAGGCUUCUGUGCAUAGAGAUGCAGUCAUAUGUCGUGUACAAGGG
Molecule: long non-coding RNA, 594 nt
Organism: Triticum dicoccoides
Lineage: Eukaryota; Viridiplantae; Streptophyta; Magnoliopsida; Poales; Poaceae
Exons: 3
Source: RefSeq, a predicted model, not a curated record